UUUUCAUUGUUAUCAUUGUUAUCGUUCUUAGACUCAUUGCCUUCUCCGUCUUCCCUAUUCUUUCGCUGAAAACGCAAUUGCUUCUUCUCUCAACUUUUAAUCUUCCAUAUCAUUCAACGUAUCCUUCAUAAUUUCACCACUAAAUGCUAUUUUCAUUUUACCCAAUAACGAUGACCACCUCUUCGUUUCCUGUAUGUCUAACCUAUAGGUUGGAGAGGCUUGAGAGUACGAUGAAUUUUCGUGACCACUCCGAGUAAAUCUUUAUCAAGUGUAGUAAGAUUCUUCGAAGAUGCCUGCUUCUGACGCUGUUGUUGCGCCUUUGACAGUUCGACGCUCUCCGCCAAGGUUGUUCCUCAUGGCAUCUAGAGAAUCUGAUAUGGUAGGAUUUGUUGUGGGUUUGAUGGUUUAUCCUUGACUAAUACGGUGCUAGAAGAGAAGAUUAGGUCUCUUUCUCUCUUUCUUUAUGUCUCUUUGAUGUAUUUGAUGGUAUAUGCUCUCUUGAUUAGUGUAUUUGAAGGUGCUGAAUCAACUUUGGUUAUGGCAUAUGGUAUGUGUGCAAGUACUAUUGUGAUGUUAGCAAUGGUUCCAAAAGGUGGACAUAUUGUGUAAACUACAGACUGUGAGACAAGGAUGUUCAUUGAGACGUUUCUUUCCAAAAUGAGAGUCACUGUGACUCUGAAUGGCUCUACUGAUAUCACUGAGCUUCAAGCUGUAGUCAAUAACCAUGAGGUCAUAUAGUAGAACACAUAGUUUCUAUGUUCUUUACAGAGUCCCCAACAAAUUCUUUUCUUCGAUGUGUGGACAUCAAGUUAGUUUCAGAAAUAUACAAGAAAGGAACUCUUGGAGGCCACAAUGAAAAUUUCAACUUCAAAGAGACACCAAGUGUUGAAGUGCAAGGCGGGGAAGCAUCCACUUCCGCUUCUGCCAGCUACACGGCAACAGCUGCGGUGAAAGAAGGUGGACACAACCAUCAGCGUGAGUGAGAAUCUGAAAACAACAAAAACGUCAACCGAACUCUGCUUCCGUCUCUUUAGCAAUUUUAAUAUUACUCUGCAUUUCCUCUUUCGCGUAUUGGAAUUUUUCCACUUGCUGUAGCUUAAAAAAGAAAAAAAAUUCGGCAGUGUACCUCUUCGGAGGAUAACACAUUCUCAAUUUUGAUAGUUUUAAAAGGUUGACGUUAUA
Raphanus sativus (radish) is the source of this 1182-nucleotide long non-coding RNA. RefSeq lists it as uncharacterized. The record is from RefSeq and is a predicted model, not a curated record. NCBI's taxonomy places the organism in Eukaryota, Viridiplantae, Streptophyta, Magnoliopsida, Brassicales, Brassicaceae. The transcript is spliced from 4 exons.